This 342-nucleotide ribosomal RNA is filed under the name Triticum aestivum (bread wheat). RNAcentral's name for it is "partial small subunit ribosomal RNA". The record is from RNAcentral. Lineage: Eukaryota; Viridiplantae; Streptophyta; Magnoliopsida; Poales; Poaceae.
GCUGAUGCAUUGUCUCGUCGCUAUACUAUGCUUUCACAACUUGACUUCAAAAUAUUUGGUUUGGAGACCAUCAAAGAUCAAUAUGUGCAUGAUGCUGAUUUUAAAGAUGUAAUGCAGAAUUGUAAAGAAGGAAGAAUGUGGAACAAGUUUGUCAUUAACGAUGGAUUUGUGUUUCGUGCUAACAAUCUAUGCAUUCCAGCUAGCUCCGUUCGUCUUUUGUUGUUGCAGGAGGCGCAUGGAGGAGGAUUAAUGGGACACUUUGGCGUGAAGAAGACGGAGGACGUACUUGCUACACAUUUCUUUUGGCCAAAGAUGAGACGGGAUGUUGAGCGUUUUAUUGCU